UCUGGUGGUUCUAGCGGUGGGGAAACACCUGAUUCCAUCUCGAACUCAGAAGUUAAGCCCAUUAGCGCCGAUGAUACUCAACAGGGGAAAGUAGGCCGUCGCCAGUU
Molecule: ribosomal RNA, 107 nt
Filed under: Candidatus Falkowbacteria bacterium CG10_big_fil_rev_8_21_14_0_10_39_11
Lineage: Bacteria; Candidatus Falkowiibacteriota
Source: RNAcentral